GAUGAAGAACGUAGCGAAAUGCGAUAAGUAGUGUGAAUUGCAGAAUUCAGUGAAUCAUCGAAUCUUUGAACGCACAUUGCGCCCCUUGGUAUUCCAUGGGGCAUGCCUGUUCGAGCGUCAUUUGUACCUUCAAGCUUUGCUUGGUGUUGGGUGUUUGUCUCGCCUUUGCGUGUAGACUCGCCUUAAAAUAAUUGGCAGCCGGCGUAUUGGUUUCGGAGCGCAGUACAUCUCGCGCUUUGCACUCAUAACGACAGCGUCCAAAAGUACAUUUUACACUCUUGACCUCGGAUCAGGUAGGGAUACCCGCUGAACUUAAGCAUAUCAAUAAGCGGAGGA
This 336-nucleotide unclassified non-coding RNA is filed under the name soil metagenome. RNAcentral describes it as "partial contains 5.8S ribosomal RNA, internal transcribed spacer 2, and large subunit ribosomal RNA". The stretch from base 1 to 120 matches the Rfam family "5.8S ribosomal RNA", at positions 35 to 154 of the family's 154-position model. The record is from RNAcentral.